Phyllopteryx taeniolatus (common seadragon) is the source of this 462-nucleotide long non-coding RNA. RefSeq lists it as uncharacterized. The record is from RefSeq and is a predicted model, not a curated record. NCBI's taxonomy places the organism in Eukaryota, Metazoa, Chordata, Actinopteri, Syngnathiformes, Syngnathidae. The transcript has 3 exons.
CGCUCUUGAACAUGAGGAUGGCGUUGGAGAUCUUGAGGGCGGGGCCGAGCUUGAUGCUCAUGAUCUUCACGAUGUCGGCCUGAGUCAGCAGCAGGAAGGCCUCGCCGUCAAUCAUCUGCCGCGAAGCAUGCAACCGCAGGUAGUUGGUCCACGUAAAGUCUUCUUCUUUACAACCUGGAGGGCAGCGGUGAUGACGCAGACGUCAACGUCGGUGAUUGAAGAAAAGCAGGCGACAUUCUAUUGUUCCCUUUGAUCACCUCUGACCUUUGGGAGUGUGCAGUUUGUGUCCUGUGCUCUCACACCAGCCGACAGGGUGCACGUCAGGCCAGGUGUGAAUAUCAACAUGCCAAAGUACCUCUUGGAAAAGCUUGUCGGGAGCAGCGAUAGUUUUGCUUUCUUCCAGAUACUGAGUCCACGUCCACAGCUCCGCCUUCACGUCUCCGCCUUCAACCCAAACGUGGG